This 497-nucleotide ribosomal RNA is filed under the name uncultured bacterium. RNAcentral describes it as "partial 16S ribosomal RNA". It matches the Rfam family "Bacterial small subunit ribosomal RNA", at positions 28 to 507 of the family's 1533-position model. The record is from RNAcentral.
GAUGAACGCUGGCGGCGUGCCUAAUACAUGCAAGUCGAGCGAACAGAUGAGGAGCUUGCUCCUCUGACGUUAGCGGCGGACGGGUGAGUAACACGUGGAUAACCUACCUAUAAGACUGGGAUAACUUCGGGACACCGGAGCUAAUACCGGAUAAUAUACUGAACCGCAUGGUUCAAUAGUGAAAGACGGUUUUGCUGUCACUUAUAGAUGGAUCCGCGCCGCAUUAGCUAGUUGGUAAGGUAACGGCUUACCAAGGCAACGAUGCGUAGCCGACCUGAGAGGGUGAUCGGCCACACUGGAACUGAGACACGGUCCAGACUCCUACGGGAGGCAGCAGUAGGGAAUCUUCCGCAAUGGGCGAAAGCCUGACGGAGCAACGCCGCGUGAGUGAUGAAGGUCUUCGGAUCGUAAAACUCUGUUAUUAGGGAAGAACAAAUGUGUAAGUAACUAUGCACGUCUUGACGGUACCUAAUCAGAAAGCCACGGCUAACUACGUG